This 489-nucleotide ribosomal RNA is filed under the name uncultured bacterium. RNAcentral describes it as "bacterial SSU rRNA". It matches the Rfam family "Bacterial small subunit ribosomal RNA", at positions 28 to 507 of the family's 1533-position model. The record is from RNAcentral.
GAUGAACGCUAGCUAUAGGCUUAACACAUGCAAGUCGAGGGCAGCAUGAAUUUACUUCGGUAAAUUUGAUGGCGACCGGCGCACGGGUGCGUAACGCGUAUCCAACCUUCCCGUUACUCCGGGAUAGCCUUCCGAAAGGGAGAUUAAUACCGGAUGGUGUUCAAGUGGUGCAUAUUAUUUGAACUAAAGAUUUAUCGGUAACGGAUGGGGAUGCGUACCAUUAGAUAGUAGGCGGGGUAACGGCCCACCUAGUCCACGAUGGUUAGGGGUUCUGAGAGGAAGGUCCCCCACACUGGAACUGAGACACGGUCCAGACUCCUACGGGAGGCAGCAGUGAGGAAUAUUGGUCAAUGGCCGAGAGGCUGAACCAGCCAAGUAGCGUGAAGGAUGAAGGUUCUAUGGAUUGUAAACUUCUUUUAUACGGGAAUAACACCAUCUACGUGUAGAUGCCUGCAUGUACCGUAUGAAUAAGCAUCGGCUAACUCCGUG